CGGGGUGCACCAGGCGCGAAAACUUUACAAUGCGGGAAACCGUGAUAAGGGGACACCGAGUGCCAGCAUCAUAUGCUGGCUGUCCAGGUGUGUAAAAUACACCUGUCAGCAAGGGCCGGGCAAGACCGGUGCCAGCCGCCGCGGUAACACCGGCGGCCCGAGUGGUGAUCGUGAUUAUUGGGUCUAAAGGGUCCGUAGCCGGUUUGGUCAGUCCUCCGGGAAAUCUGACGGCUCAACCGUUAGGCUUUCGGGGGAUACUGCCAGGCUUGGAACCGGGAGAGGUAAGAGGUACUACAGGGGUAGGAGUGAAAUCUUGUAAUCCCUGUGGGACCACCUGUGGCGAAGGCGUCUUACCAGAACGGGUUCGACGGUGAGGGACGAAAGCUGGGGGCACGAACCGGAUUAGAUACCCGGGUAGUCCCAGCCGUAAACGAUGCUCGCUAGGUGUCAGGCAUGGCGCGACCGUGUCUGGUGCCGCAGGGAAGCCGUGAAGCGAGCCACCUGGGAAGUACGGCCGCAAGGCUGAAACUUAAAGGAAUUGGCGGGGGAGCACAAGGGCGAAUCGC
Molecule: ribosomal RNA, 566 nt
Filed under: uncultured archaeon
Lineage: Archaea
Description: bacterial SSU rRNA
Rfam family: Archaeal small subunit ribosomal RNA
Source: RNAcentral